AGCACCGUAGCACAGCUGGGAGUGCGCCGGUCUCAUAUGUUCUUUACUUGAGGACUCUGAGCAAUCCGGAGGUCGCUUGAUCAAAACAAGUCGUUGCUA
Mycena rosella is the source of this 99-nucleotide non-coding RNA. The record is from the annotation of a GenBank genome assembly. Lineage: Eukaryota; Fungi; Basidiomycota; Agaricomycetes; Agaricales; Mycenaceae.